This 99-nucleotide ribosomal RNA is filed under the name Acanthosepion pharaonis. Lineage: Eukaryota; Metazoa; Mollusca; Cephalopoda; Sepiida; Sepiidae. The record is from RNAcentral.
GUUGUAACACCAGUUCUCGUACAAUCAUCGAAGUUAAGCAACGUCGAGCCAGGUCAGUACCUAGAUGGGUGACCGCUUGGGAAUACUAGGUACUGUAAG